AUGGAAUCUUCGCAUCAUUGUUGUCAGAGAUUUUUCAUCUUUGACAAGAGGCUUCCCGUACUCGUAUCUGUGUUCGUCCACCGCCAUGAAAUCAGGAAGUGCAUCGUCAGGCAGGUAAUCUUCAAGAUUGCCAUAACCGGCCACCGUCCCCGGAGCAUUAGACACAUUGAGCGGGGGGCACGAUUGCUGUGCUUGUUCGCCGAGCUGGGCAAUUUUUUCCCCUUUGCUCGUUCUUUUAACCUUUUAUCACUGACAGUAGUUCCCGGCCGCUGGGCUUGGAGAUAUGUCUGUUCAGUAAUGCGAUCAUAG
This 309-nucleotide ribosomal RNA is filed under the name Triticum aestivum (bread wheat). RNAcentral describes it as "partial small subunit ribosomal RNA". The record is from RNAcentral. Lineage: Eukaryota; Viridiplantae; Streptophyta; Magnoliopsida; Poales; Poaceae.